This 622-nucleotide long non-coding RNA is filed under the name Bemisia tabaci. Its description in RNAcentral is "lncRNA ENSSSA3NGG014952". The record is from RNAcentral. Lineage: Eukaryota; Metazoa; Arthropoda; Insecta; Hemiptera; Aleyrodidae.
GUACCGGUUCAGACUCUCUAUUCUGAAUUACUCUUAUUCUCUGAUUUCAGGGAAGCAGCGGAAAGCGGGGAAGUGAUACAGAGAGCCGUGUCGCCGGAAAAAGGCGUCCCUCCUGGGGAAAUGGGUGGACAGGGACAUGAUCGCGAGCAGCAAGCGGCCGGGGCUGGAGGGCGGGGGCGGUGGCGAGCUGCGGCUGAGCCGGCACCUGGCCCGGAUCAGCCAGGACACCGUCUGGACCCCGAACGAGCUCAUCAACGGCUCCAUCAUCCUGGCGCACCGGCCCCCCGACGGCGACCCGCCCGAAGCCACCGCCGCCCGCUUCGCCGACGAGAGGCAAAUGCGACGCGUCUUUACCUUGCUCUACGACGUUUUCAGAUAUAAAAAUAUUCUGUCUGAGGUCUUAGAGAAUGUACAAUUUUUUGAUAAACAUCCAGAGUACGAAAAAGAGUGUUGCCUGGUAUGGCUGCUCUGCUACGAUCUGCUCAAGCGGAACUUCAAGCCCCGGGACUUGAAGACCCUGAUGGAGGACAAGCGGCUAGCGGGGACCCAGACGAAGGCCAUCGAUGACUGUCUGUGGCGCUACAGGGUCCAUCUGGGGCCUCCGUGGCCAGGAUCCGAAUAA